GGCGCUCAAGCAUUCUCCCGAUACUCGACCGCCGUGGCACUACCGGUCCGCCGCAAUGCCUCCGGGUUUUUGGCGGGUCUCGAAGCCACGGUGAGUAGGAGGGUCGCGGUGGUGUGCGCUGAAGGGUUCGGCGUGAGCCGGCCUGGAGCCUCCACUGGUGCAGAUCUUGGUGGUAGUAGCAAAUAGUCGAGAGAGAGUCCCUUGAAGGCCGAAGUGGAGAAGGGUUCCAUGUGAACAUCAGUUGGACAUGGGUUAGUCGCUCCUAAGCCCAAGGCGAAGGCCUGAUCCCACGUUAGCGGCAACGACCACACGCAGCACACAUGGGGAGGUAGGCCGACCCGACCAAGGUAGGUCGGGCCGGACUUAUCCUCGUGGUUCGAAGACGAACGUGUGGGGCGGCUUUGUGCGAAGUCAACAACAACAACAUUUGACAGCCCUAUCGGGAGUUGCCAGAGGGGAUUAGUGGCGAAAGGGAAUACGGUCAUUAUUCCGUAACCAGGACCCGGAUGCCAAGCAGGUGUAAGCGCCCUUGCCCCCAGGCAGGGGAAUGCUGCCCUGUGCAGGACCCCGGUAACGGGAACCAGCUCGCGUCCGUCGGCGGUGGUCCGGGAAAGAGUUUUCUUUUCUGUUUAAGGCGCCGUGACCCUGGAAGCCAUUCGCAGAGAGAAAGGGUGUUUGUAAGACGGAAAGCCGUAGAGCGCCGCGGUUCCUUGCGGCGUCCCGCGCGCCACCGCCGGCCCGUGAAACAGGCGAGGGAGGUAACUGAGGUAAAGCUGACUCCCCAUAGUCGGCGACACCUACUUUCGGGCCAGUGCGUACCCAUAUCCGCAGCAGG
RNAcentral lists this ribosomal RNA (835 nucleotides) under Projasus bahamondei. RNAcentral describes it as "eukaryotic LSU rRNA". It matches the Rfam family "Eukaryotic large subunit ribosomal RNA", at positions 1324 to 1863 of the family's 3401-position model. Lineage: Eukaryota; Metazoa; Arthropoda; Malacostraca; Decapoda; Palinuridae. The record is from RNAcentral.